RNAcentral lists this ribosomal RNA (385 nucleotides) under uncultured bacterium. Its description in RNAcentral is "bacterial SSU rRNA". It matches the Rfam family "Bacterial small subunit ribosomal RNA", at positions 30 to 428 of the family's 1533-position model. The record is from RNAcentral.
AUUGAACGCUGGCGGCAGGCCUAACACAUGCAAGUCGAGCGGGGUUUUCGGACCUAGCGGCGGACGGGUGAGUAAUGCGUAGGAAGCUACCCGACAGAGGGGGAUACCAGUUGGAAACGACUGUUAAUACCCGCAUAAUGUCUACGGAUCAAAGUGUGGGACCUUCGGGCCACAUGCUGUCGGAUGCGCCUACGUGGGAUUAGCUAGUUGGUGAGGUAAUGGCUCACCAAGGCGACGAUCCCUAGCUGGUUUGAGAGGAUGAUCAGCCACACUGGAACUGAGACACGGUCCAGAUUCCUACGGGAGGCAGCAGUGGGGAAUAUUGGACAAUGGGCGCAAGCCUGAUCCAGCCAUGCCGCGUGUGUGAAGAAGGCCUCGGUUGUAA